This 490-nucleotide long non-coding RNA is filed under the name Rattus norvegicus (Norway rat). Its description in RNAcentral is "long non-coding RNA NONRATT018486". The record is from RNAcentral. Lineage: Eukaryota; Metazoa; Chordata; Mammalia; Rodentia; Muridae.
AGACCUGGUGGUGCGUGCUGCCGAGCUUUGUCCAGUCUCCUCUGUCCUGACUCACUGCUGUUGGCUCCUGCUGAGGAACAAGUCGAUCAGGAAGCCUCAGCUGUGGCAUUUAAAGGUACCGGAAAGACACCUGUGGAGCCGGAAGUGGCGAUUCACCAAAUUCAAUCACGCUCACCAGUCGAUAUGUGAAGUCGCUGGAGAAGGUUUGAGCAGAGGCACAAAGGAGAAGAAUCUGAAAGUGAAAAGACCGGUGUGCAUGCCUACCAAGACACUGAGAAUCACUACCAGAAAAACACCUUGUGGUGAAGGUUCCAAGACCUGGGAUCGUUUCUAGAUGAUAAUUCACAAGCGACUCAUUGAUUUACACAGUCCUUCUGAGAUUGUUAAACAGAUUAUUUCCAUCAGUAUUGACCCAGGAGUGAAGGUUGAAGUCACCAUUGCAGAUGCCUAAGUCAACUGUUUAAAUAAAUUGACUUGUUUAGAAAAAAAA